CAGCGCAUCCUUCGGGAUGAGCGGCGGACGGGUGAGUAACGCGUGGGAAUGUGCCCUUCUCUACGGAAUAGCCACUGGAAACGGUGAGUAAUACCGUAUACGCCCUCAGGGGGAAAGAUUUAUCGGAGAAGGAUCAGCCCGCGUUAGAUUAGGUAGUUGGUGGGGUAACGGCCUACCAAGCCUACGAUCUAUAGCUGGUUUUAGAGGAUGAUCAGCCACACUGGGACUGAGACACGGCCCAGACUCCUACGGGAGGCAGCAGUAGGGAAUCUUGGACAAUGGGGGCAACCCUGAUCCAGCCAUGCCGCGUGAGUGAAGAAGGCCCUAGGGUCGUAAAGCUCUUUCGCCUGUGAUGAUAAUGACAGUAGCAGGUAAAGAAACCCCGGCUAACUCCGUGCCAGCAGCCGCGGUAAUACGGAGGGGGUUAGCGUUGUUCGGAAUUACUGGGCGUAAAGCGCGCGUAGGCGGAUUGGAAAGUUGGGGGUGAAAUCCCGGGGCUCAACCCCGGAACUGCCUUCAAAACUCCCAGUCUAGAGUUCGAGAGAGGUGAGUGGAAUUCCGAGUGUACAGGUGACAAUUCGUAGAUAUUCCGGAAGAACCACCAG
RNAcentral lists this ribosomal RNA (605 nucleotides) under uncultured Rhodobacterales bacterium. RNAcentral describes it as "bacterial SSU rRNA". It matches the Rfam family "Bacterial small subunit ribosomal RNA", at positions 64 to 713 of the family's 1533-position model. The record is from RNAcentral. Lineage: Bacteria; Pseudomonadati; Pseudomonadota; Alphaproteobacteria; Rhodobacterales.